This 2901-nucleotide ribosomal RNA is filed under the name Klebsiella pneumoniae. RNAcentral's name for it is "bacterial LSU rRNA". It matches the Rfam family "Bacterial large subunit ribosomal RNA". The record is from RNAcentral. Lineage: Bacteria; Pseudomonadati; Pseudomonadota; Gammaproteobacteria; Enterobacterales; Enterobacteriaceae.
UUAAGCGACUAAGCGUACACGGUGGAUGCCCUGGCAGUCAGAGGCGAUGAAGGACGUGCUAAUCUGCGAAAAGCGUCGGUAAGGUGAUAUGAACCGUUAUAACCGGCGAUGUCCGAAUGGGGAAACCCAGUGUGAUUCGUCACACUAUCGUUAACUGAAUACAUAGGUUAACGAGGCGAACCGGGGGAACUGAAACAUCUAAGUACCCCGAGGAAAAGAAAUCAACCGAGAUUCCCCCAGUAGCGGCGAGCGAACGGGGAGCAGCCCAGAGUCUGAAUCAGCUUGUGUGUUAGUGGAACGGUCUGGAAAGUCCGACGGUACAGGGUGAUAGUCCCGUACACCAAAAUGCACAGGCUGUGAACUCGAAGAGUAGGGCGGGACACGUGGUAUCCUGUCUGAAUAUGGGGGGACCAUCCUCCAAGGCUAAAUACUCCUGACUGACCGAUAGUGAACCAGUACCGUGAGGGAAAGGCGAAAAGAACCCCGGCGAGGGGAGUGAAAAAGAACCUGAAACCGUGUACGUACAAGCAGUGGGAGCACCUUCGGGUGUGACUGCGUACCUUUUGUAUAAUGGGUCAGCGACUUAUAUUCUGUAGCAAGGUUAACCGUAUAGGGGAGCCGCAGGGAAACCGAGUCUUAACUGGGCGUUAAGUUGCAGGGUAUAGACCCGAAACCCGGUGAUCUAGCCAUGGGCAGGUUGAAGGUUGGGUAACACUAACUGGAGGACCGAACCGACUAAUGUUGAAAAAUUAGCGGAUGACUUGUGGCUGGGGGUGAAAGGCCAAUCAAACCGGGAGAUAGCUGGUUCUCCCCGAAAGCUAUUUAGGUAGCGCCUCGUGAAUUCAUCUUCGGGGGUAGAGCACUGUUUCGGCUAGGGGGUCAUCCCGACUUACCAACCCGAUGCAAACUACGAAUACCGAAGAAUGUUAUCACGGGAGACACACGGCGGGUGCUAACGUCCGUCGUGAAGAGGGAAACAACCCAGACCGCCAGCUAAGGUCCCAAAGUCAUGGUUAAGUGGGAAACGAUGUGGGAAGGCACAGACAGCCAGGAUGUUGGCUUAGAAGCAGCCAUCAUUUAAAGAAAGCGUAAUAGCUCACUGGUCGAGUCGGCCUGCGCGGAAGAUGUAACGGGGCUAAACCAUGCACCGAAGCUGCGGCAGCGACACUAUGUGUUGUUGGGUAGGGGAGCGUUCUGUAAGCCUGCGAAGGUGACCUGUGAGGGUUGCUGGAGGUAUCAGAAGUGCGAAUGCUGACAUAAGUAACGAUAAAGCGGGUGAAAAGCCCGCUCGCCGGAAGACCAAGGGUUCCUGUCCAACGUUAAUCGGGGCAGGGUGAGUCGACCCCUAAGGCGAGGCCGAAAGGCGUAGUCGAUGGGAAACAGGUUAAUAUUCCUGUACUUGGUGUUACUGCGAAGGGGGGACGGAGAAGGCUAUGUUAGCCGGGCGACGGUUGUCCCGGUUUAAGCAUGUAGGCUGAUUGUCCAGGCAAAUCCGGAUAAUCAAGGCUGAGGUGUGAUGACGAGGCACUACGGUGCUGAAGUAACAAAUGCCCUGCUUCCAGGAAAAGCCUCUAAGCAUCAGGUAACAUCAAAUCGUACCCCAAACCGACACAGGUGGUCAGGUAGAGAAUACCAAGGCGCUUGAGAGAACUCGGGUGAAGGAACUAGGCAAAAUGGUGCCGUAACUUCGGGAGAAGGCACGCUGGUGUGUAGGUGAAGNNNNNNNNNNNUGGAGCUGAGACCAGUCGAAGAUACCAGCUGGCUGCAACUGUUUAUUAAAAACACAGCACUGUGCAAACACGAAAGUGGACGUAUACGGUGUGACGCCUGCCCGGUGCCGGAAGGUUAAUUGAUGGGGUUAUCCGUAAGGAGAAGCUCUUGAUCGAAGCCCCGGUAAACGGCGGCCGUAACUAUAACGGUCCUAAGGUAGCGAAAUUCCUUGUCGGGUAAGUUCCGACCUGCACGAAUGGCGUAAUGAUGGCCAGGCUGUCUCCACCCGAGACUCAGUGAAAUUGAACUCGCUGUGAAGAUGCAGUGUACCCGCGGCAAGACGGAAAGACCCCGUGAACCUUUACUAUAGCUUGACACUGAACAUUGAGCCUUGAUGUGUAGGAUAGGUGGGAGGCUUUGAAGCGUGGACGCCAGUCUGCGUGGAGCCAACCUUGAAAUACCACCCUUUAAUGUUUGAUGUUCUAACGUUGGCCCCUUACCGGGGUUGCGGACAGUGUCUGGUGGGUAGUUUGACUGGGGCGGUCUCCUCCCAAAGCGUAACGGAGGAGCACGAAGGUUAGCUAAUCCUGGUCGGACAUCAGGAGGUUAGUGCAAUGGCAUAAGCUAGCUUGACUGCGAGCGUGACGGCGCGAGCAGGUGCGAAAGCAGGUCAUAGUGAUCCGGUGGUUCUGAAUGGAAGGGCCAUCGCUCAACGGAUAAAAGGUACUCCGGGGAUAACAGGCUGAUACCGCCCAAGAGUUCAUAUCGACGGCGGUGUUUGGCACCUCGAUGUCGGCUCAUCACAUCCUGGGGCUGAAGUAGGUCCCAAGGGUAUGGCUGUUCGCCAUUUAAAGUGGUACGCGAGCUGGGUUUAGAACGUCGUGAGACAGUUCGGUCCCUAUCUGCCGUGGGCGCUGGAGAAUUGAGGGGGGCUGCUCCUAGUACGAGAGGACCGGAGUGGACGCAUCACUGGUGUUCGGGUUGUCAUGCCAAUGGCACUGCCCGGUAGCUAAAUGCGGAAGAGAUAAGUGCUGAAAGCAUCUAAGCACGAAACUUGCCCCGAGAUGAGUUCUCCCUGAGACUUUAAGUCUCCUGAAGGAACGUUGAAGACGACGACGUUGAUAGGCCGGGUGUGUAAGCGCAGCGAUGCGUUGAGCUAACCGGUACUAAUGAACCGUGAGGCUUAACCUU